AAUGGGCGCAAGCCUGAUCCAGCAAUGCCGCGUGUGUGAAGAAGGCCUGCGGGUUGUAAAGCACUUUCAGUGGGGAAGAACGGAUGCGGGCCAAUACCCCGGAUCACUGACGUUACCCACAGAAGAAGCACCGGCUAACUCCGUGCCAGCAGCCGCGGUAAUACGGAGGGUGCAAGCGUUAAUCGGAAUUACUGGGCGUAAAGCGCGCGUAGGCGGUGACUUAAGCGAAAUGUGAAAUCCCCGGGCUCAACCUGGGCGUGGCAUUUCGAACUGGGUGACUGGAGUUUUGGAGAGGAGAGUGGAAUUCCCGGUGUAGCGGUGAAAUGCGUAGAGAUCGGGAGGAACAUCAGUGGCGAAGGCGGCUCUCUGGCCAAAAACUGACGCUGAGGCGCGAAAGCGUGGGGAUCAAA
This 410-nucleotide ribosomal RNA is filed under the name uncultured bacterium. RNAcentral describes it as "bacterial SSU rRNA". It matches the Rfam family "Bacterial small subunit ribosomal RNA", at positions 370 to 772 of the family's 1533-position model. The record is from RNAcentral.